CCUCUAGGAGUAGAUUGUUGACAUCUGCAUUGGUGAUAUUCCUAAAUUGGUACCCAACAGGCAAUCCGGCUAGACAGAACCUAUAAAGCUAUAUCUUAAGAAGGAGAGGAGAUCUGGGAACCAGAACAGUAUGAGAAUUCGUCAUUAACUUGGGGAAGACAGAAGAGGUAGGAAACUUGCGAAUGCUGUCUGGUGACUGAAUAAAAUGACUAAGAACCAAA
Molecule: long non-coding RNA, 221 nt
Organism: Monodelphis domestica (gray short-tailed opossum)
Lineage: Eukaryota; Metazoa; Chordata; Mammalia; Didelphimorphia; Didelphidae
Source: RefSeq, a predicted model, not a curated record